RNAcentral lists this ribosomal RNA (253 nucleotides) under uncultured bacterium. RNAcentral describes it as "partial 16S ribosomal RNA". It matches the Rfam family "Bacterial small subunit ribosomal RNA", at positions 524 to 776 of the family's 1533-position model. The record is from RNAcentral.
GACAGAGGGUGCAAACGUUGUUCGGAAUUACUGGGCGUAAAGCGCGUGUAGGCUGCUCAGAAAGUCGGAUGUGAAAGCCCUGGGCUUAACCUAGGAAGUGCAUUCGAAACUUCUGAGCUGGAGUCCUGGAGAGGAAGGCGGAAUUCUCGGUGUAGAGGUGAAAUUCGUAGAUAUCGGGAGGAACACCGGUGGCGAAGGCGGCGACCUGGGUAGAUACUGACGCUGAGGUGCGAAAGCGCGGGGAGCAAACAGG